This 331-nucleotide long non-coding RNA is filed under the name Manihot esculenta (cassava). Its description in RNAcentral is "long non-coding RNA (MESC_LNC009088)". Lineage: Eukaryota; Viridiplantae; Streptophyta; Magnoliopsida; Malpighiales; Euphorbiaceae. The record is from RNAcentral.
AGGGUUAAUGAGGUUUCAAAGACUACUACUAAAAAUACUAAGAGAAAUGAUGUGAGACCUAGAGAGUUAAAUUUAUCUAGCUAUGAGGAAGAUGAAGUUGAUGACAAUUUAGUUAGAGGAAGGCUGAGAAGGGAAGAAAGGUGGAAAGAUAGAGCAUGACAUCGGGAUAGCAACAUCAAUGCUAUUAAGAUAAAAAUACCACUAUUGAAGGGUAGGUAUGAAAUAGAAGUUUAUUUGGAAUGGGAGAGAAGAUAGAAUUGAUUUUUUCAUGUAACAACUAUUUUGAAGAAAAGAAGGUUAGGCUUAAUGCAGUUGAGUUCUCAAACCAUGC